This 382-nucleotide ribosomal RNA is filed under the name uncultured bacterium. RNAcentral's name for it is "bacterial SSU rRNA". It matches the Rfam family "Bacterial small subunit ribosomal RNA", at positions 30 to 414 of the family's 1533-position model. The record is from RNAcentral.
AUUGAACGCUGGCGGCAUGCCUUACACAUGCAAGUCGAACGGUAACAGGUCUUCGGAUGCUGACGAGUGGCGAACGGGUGAGUAAUACAUCGGAACGUGCCCAGACGUGGGGGAUAACGAGGCGAAAGCUUUGCUAAUACCGCAUGAGAUCUGAGGAUGAAAGCAGGGGACCGCAAGGCCUUGCGCGUUUGGAGCGGCCGAUGGCAGAUUAGGUAGUUGGUGGGAUAAAAGCUUACCAAGCCGACGAUCUGUAGCUGGUCUGAGAGGACGACCAGCCACACUGGGACUGAGACACGGCCCAGACUCCUACGGGAGGCAGCAGUGGGGAAUUUUGGACAAUGGGGGAAACCCUGAUCCAGCAAUGCCGCGUGCAGGAUGAAGG